This 479-nucleotide long non-coding RNA is filed under the name Phasianus colchicus (ring-necked pheasant). RNAcentral's name for it is "lncRNA (ENSPCLG00000005789.1)". The record is from RNAcentral. Lineage: Eukaryota; Metazoa; Chordata; Aves; Galliformes; Phasianidae.
GCUUUGCUUUCCAGCGAGCUAAUCUGCUGACACUUUCCUUCAAAAUUAAUUGUAUUUAGUUGGUCAGGUUCUGAAAAGACAAGGGCGACCUGUUUAUGAGGGCGUGAAGUUUGUCACAGUGGUUGUGCAACUGUGGAGGAAACGCAUCCUAGGUGUGGGGACAGCAGAGCAGCUGACCUUUCAUUUCAACAUACCUGCAGGAAGCCCUAGAAAGCCUGGGCCUGCCACAUGCAAAACUACUUACUGGUGACAGCAAAAGCAAUUUUGGAAGAGAGACAGAGUGGGGAAGUGCUGUGGGGAAAAAUGGAAGGCUUCAGGAUGUUUUCCGAGAUUCUUGUAGUAAAUGGAAACCAAUGGAUUCCUUAGAACAAUUCCACUGAAUGGAAAGUGUGACCAGACCACCUGAGUGAUACCUGGCUCAUCCUCCACGUUAGAUGUGCUCACAUAUAUUCAAAAUAAAAAAGUUACAAAACUAGUCA